GUAGGUGAACCUGCGGAAGGAUCAUUAGUGAAUUUUAGGGCGUCUACUUGUAGAGCCUGACCUCCACUCUCUAACACUGUGCACUUAUUGGCGGAUUGAAGCAGAAUUGAGAUUAACGUCUCUCUAAUUUAAUUCUUUCUGCGGCUUAAUUUUAAACACCAGUCAAAGUAUGUAACGAAAUAUCGAAAUAAAAAAAAAACUUUCAACAACGGAUCUCUUGGCUCUC
Molecule: unclassified non-coding RNA, 226 nt
Filed under: rhizosphere metagenome
Description: partial ribosomal RNA internal transcribed spacer region
Source: RNAcentral